GAGUUUGAUCAUGGCUCAGAACGAACGCUGGCGGCGUGCUUAACACAUGCAAGUCUUACGAGAAAGUUUCCUUCGGGGAACGAGUACAGUGGCGCACGGGUGAGUAACACGUGGGUAACCUACCCUUCAGUCUGGGAUAACAUUUCGAAAGGGAUGCUAAUACCGGAUUCGUUCAAUUUGACUUCGGUCAUAUUGAGGAAAGAUGGCCUCUAAACUAUGCUAUUGCUGAUGGAUGGGCCCGCGGACCAUUAGCUUGUUGGUGGGGUAACGGCCUACCAAGGCUCCGAUGGGUAGCUGAUCUGAGAGGAUGAUCAGCCACACUGGUACUGGAACACGGCCCAGACUCCUACGGGAGGCAGCAGUUAAGAAUCUUGCACAAUGGGCGAAAGCCUGAUGCAGCGACGCCGCGUGAGCGGUGAAGGCCUUCGGGUUGUAAAGCUCUUUUCUGGGGGAUGAAACCGGUGAUUAAUAGUCACUAUCUGACGGUACCCCAGGAAUAAGCCUCGGCUAAUUACGUGCCAGCAGCCGCGGUAAUACG
RNAcentral lists this ribosomal RNA (538 nucleotides) under uncultured bacterium. RNAcentral's name for it is "bacterial SSU rRNA". It matches the Rfam family "Bacterial small subunit ribosomal RNA", at positions 9 to 527 of the family's 1533-position model. The record is from RNAcentral.